RNAcentral lists this long non-coding RNA (682 nucleotides) under Olea europaea subsp. europaea. Lineage: Eukaryota; Viridiplantae; Streptophyta; Magnoliopsida; Lamiales; Oleaceae. The record is from RNAcentral.
CUUUGAUUUAAGUGAAUUUGGCUAACUUUUAUCAACUUUUUUGCUGAAUGAUGGGCUGAGUUUUAAAAGGGUGUCUGUCCAGGUAAUUCGACGGCUUCUUGGGUGCAAAAGCUUUAAAUGGGAAUGGUGAUUAUGUGAUUACAGUCUGCGAAAUCUUUGGGAAAAAUGGACUGCAGUAGAUCUGUGGCUACUUCAGUUGACUCUUGUUUCUCGUUCCUGUUGCGCAGCCAUGAUUUGCAUCUUGGCUAUUUCCUCUUUUUAAAUUUGGGUUCUCUUGUCUUUCUAUAUCUGCCUUUGCUAGUGUGAAAAAGGCUUAAUGACUUCGAUUUUCAUAAUUUUCCUUCAAUCUACAAUAUAUCACGCCUAUUGGUGAAAUUAGUUUAAUGAGGCUGUUCAGCUAAGGUGCUUGCACGACAUUGUAUUGUAAAAGAAGAAGUUAAUGCUGAUAAAAUAUACACUUAAAAGCCAUAUAACAGAACUCGAAGUGCUAAUUAUGUACUUUUCAAGUGACUGUAAAGCUAAGCGAUUCAUUUAAGGCUGCUUUAAAUUUUGUCACUGAUGUGAUUAUCUGGGAUGAUGUUUAUGUUCUUAAAAGUAAAAUGUAAAAUUACAAUAGCAAAACUAUAUUCUCCGUUGAUUUUAGGAGUUAAUUACUAGUGCCAGUGUCACCUGAUGCCUUUAG